Molecule: ribosomal RNA, 255 nt
Filed under: uncultured bacterium
Lineage: Bacteria
Description: partial 16S ribosomal RNA
Rfam family: Bacterial small subunit ribosomal RNA
Source: RNAcentral
CAAUACUCCGCCGGCGACCGGCGCACGGGUGCGUAACGCGUAUGCAACCUACCUUUAACAGGGGCAUAACACUGAGAAAUUGGUACUAAUUCCCCAUAACAUUCGAGAAGGCAUCUUCUUGGGUUAAAAACUCCGGUGGUUAAAGAUGGGCAUGCGUUGUAUUAGCUAGUUGGUGAGGUAACGGCUCACCAAGGCAACGAUACAUAGGGGGACUGAGAGGUUAACCCCCCACAUUGGUACUGAGACACGGACCAA